GGCCCGGUAGCUCAGCUGGUAGAGCAACAGCCUUUUAAGCUGAUGGUCCUGGGUUCGAUCCCCAGCCGGGUCACCA
This 76-nucleotide transfer RNA is filed under the name Candidatus Magasanikbacteria bacterium RIFOXYB2_FULL_38_10. Its description in RNAcentral is "tRNA-Lys". It matches the Rfam family "tRNA". Rfam says of the family: Transfer RNA (tRNA) molecules are approximately 80 nucleotides in length. RNAcentral also lists the same sequence under 2 other names. The record is from RNAcentral. Lineage: Bacteria; Candidatus Magasanikiibacteriota.